CCCUUAGAUGUUCUGGGCCGCACGCGUGCUACACUGACCGGCGCAACAAGUUUCUUUCCUUGGCUCGAUAGGCCUGGGUAAUCUUUGAACGCCGGUCGUGAUGGGGAUAGAUCCUUGCAAUUUUUGAUCUUCAACGAGGAAUUCCUAGUAAAUGCGAGUCAUCAUCUCGCGUUGAUUACGUCCCUGCCCUUUGUACACACCGCCCGUCGUACCUACCGAUUGAAUGGUCCGGUGAAGCCUCGGGAUUGCGAAUGCUUCGUGCGGACGCGAGAACUUGGCUAAACCUUACCAUUUAGAGGAAGGUGAAGUCGUAACA
RNAcentral lists this ribosomal RNA (316 nucleotides) under uncultured eukaryote. RNAcentral describes it as "partial 18S ribosomal RNA". It matches the Rfam family "Eukaryotic small subunit ribosomal RNA", at positions 1470 to 1796 of the family's 1831-position model. The record is from RNAcentral.